GGAGAGUUUGAUCCUGGCUCAGGACGAACGCUGGCGGCGUGCCUAAUACAUGCAAGUAGAACGCUGAGGAUUGGUGCUUGCACUAAUCCAAAGAGUUGCGAACGGGUGAGUAACGCGUAGGUAACCUACCUCAUAGCGGGGGAUAACUAUUGGAAACGAUAGCUAAUACCGCAUGACACUAGAGUACACAUGUACUUAAUUUAAAAGGAGCAAUUGCUUCACUAUGAGAUGGACCUGCGUUGUAUUAGCUAGUUGGUGAGGUAACGGCUCACCAAGGCGACGAUACAUAGCCGACCUGAGAGGGUGAUCGGCCACACUGGGACUGAGACACGGCCCAGACUCCUACGGGAGGCAGCAGUAGGGAAUCUUCGGCAAUGGACGGAAGUCUGACCGAGCAACGCCGCGUGAGUGAAGAAGGUUUUCGGAUCGUAAAGCUCUGUUGUUAGAGAAGAACGGUAAUGGGAGUGGAAAAUCCAUUACGUGACGGUAACUAACCAGAAAGGGACGGCUAACUACGUGCCA
Molecule: ribosomal RNA, 522 nt
Filed under: Streptococcus iniae
Lineage: Bacteria; Bacillati; Bacillota; Bacilli; Lactobacillales; Streptococcaceae
Description: bacterial SSU rRNA
Rfam family: Bacterial small subunit ribosomal RNA
Source: RNAcentral